UACGUAGGGGGCAAGCGUUGUCCGGAUUUAUUGGGCGUAAAGAGCGUGUAGGCGGCCUGAAAGGUCAGCUGUGAAAACUCGAGGCUUAACCUCGAGACGUCGGUUGAAACCAUCUGGCUAGAGUCCGGAAGAGGAGUGUGGAAUUCCCGGUGUAGCGGUGAAAUGCGCAGAUAUCGGGGAAGAACACCCGUGGCGAAGGCGGCACUCUGGGACGGUACUGACGCUGAGACGCG
RNAcentral lists this ribosomal RNA (233 nucleotides) under uncultured bacterium. RNAcentral describes it as "partial 16S ribosomal RNA". It matches the Rfam family "Bacterial small subunit ribosomal RNA", at positions 524 to 755 of the family's 1533-position model. The record is from RNAcentral.